GCGCAGAGAGGCGGAGAGAACAGAUUCAACCCAAGUUUGAACGGUUACCUCUGUUUGCUAGCACUUUGAGAAAACGUGGUUACUGGAGAGGCCUGGAUGCUAAAACAAACUUUGGAGCUGCUUUUUUGUCGAACAUGAGUGAGACUGGAUGCUGAGCACACUUACGGCGUGAAGGUUUACUCAUUCAGCUGCUGCAGCCUGGACAGAGACACUGGCUCUCACCUUACAAACCAAACAGGUGUCACCCCAUUGUCCAUGACAUCGAUUGCUAACAUGUUGUCCAUGAUCACAGAGACAUCUCAGAGAGUCUUCGUACAAUGAAGAAGUUCUUUGAGACCAGGACAGAGGCCUCCAGCAUUCAAACUUCAACCAUUAAAUCACAGAGAGAAGAGACAGACAUGAUGACAUUCCCAGAAGGUCUUCAGCAGCAGUCGUCUUCUCCUCCUGCAGAGACAAGAACACGUGUUAAUCACAGAAACUGAUAAAUUUAUUUCCUAAACUUUCUACAACUUAGUAUCACAUAUUUUAGUGUGUUUUUCUAAUUACUACAGUCACAGUAAUGACUAGAAAUAAUUCUGAAACUCUAAAACAAGAACCUACUAAUUGUUACAUAGUUAUCUCUCAAAUUUCAGCGGUAAACAUGACCCAUGUAUCACAGAGAAAAAGGUGUUUCACUGCACUGUACUUAAAAAGGUAUAUGAAAAUUUUCUAAUAUUUCUUUUCAUUCUAAUGAAAUUACUGUGUUGAUAAAUUAUUUUACUUACUAAUUUUGUUAUUUUUCAUGACCUAUG
This is a long non-coding RNA of Lates calcarifer (barramundi perch), 791 nucleotides long. RefSeq lists it as uncharacterized. The record is from RefSeq and is a predicted model, not a curated record. The transcript is spliced from 5 exons. Lineage: Eukaryota; Metazoa; Chordata; Actinopteri; Centropomidae.